This 6244-nucleotide long non-coding RNA is filed under the name Homo sapiens (human). Its description in RNAcentral is "HSALNT0313950". The record is from RNAcentral. Lineage: Eukaryota; Metazoa; Chordata; Mammalia; Primates; Hominidae.
UAGCACAAUCAGCCGCCUUGCUAUGUGAUGUCCUUUGCUAACUCGGGAAUCUGCAGAGUCCCCACCAUGAAGAGGGCCCUCACAAGAUGCAGCCCUUUGACUUUGGACUUCUCAGCCUCCAUAACUGUAAGAAAUAAAUUCCUUUUCUUUAUAAAUUACCCAGUUUCAGUCCUGAUGAAUUGAUGUCCUGCUAUUGCAAUCCUUUUGGCUCUGUUGUCACUUGUAGCAAUAGUUUUUUGACAUCUAAAUAUAUGACGCACACCUGUUAUUUAAAAAUCAGAGGUAUAAAUGAUUAGUCUUAAAAUAUUCAAUCUCUCUGUACAAACACGCUCACAGUCAGUUAUUUCUCCCUCCAAAGUAUUUUCUAAAUUUCUUGUGCAUCCAUCCCUCCUAAUCCUUUUACUUGCCAUUUCCUCACACCAUCCUGCUCACUUGCCUUCCCUCCCUUUUGCUAUCCCAAACCUCCUUAGUCUAUUAGCAGAUCACACAAUGGGCAAAUGUUUUGGGAGUACUUACUAAACUCCAGGCAUUAUGCUAGGUGCUGGAGAUCCAGCAGAGCAUGUGGCAUGUUGUAGCCACCCCCUUAUCGUCUAUCGGUCCUCUCUCUUUUCUCAAGCCACUGAUGGCCUCCUCUCCCUCUUUAGCAAGCCCCUUCUUUUCUGUCUGCUCCAUAAUUAUUAGGAUUUUCCUUCUAUAUUUUGUCCACACUCCUCUUAGAUCCACAUGCUUUAUUUGUGAUCUCACUGACUUUCUGAGCCUCUAACUGCCAUUAAUGCACUGAUGACUCUAUCGCUCCAUCAUAUCACAAUAAUCCAUUCAUUCAUUAUUUCUUUUAUAAAUAUAUAUGAGCAUUUACUCUUUUCUAACCACUACCCUAGGGAAUUCAAGAAUACAUAAAAAGGACAUGAUCUUUGCCCUCAUGGAGAUUACAGUCUGGUGGAGGAGACAGACAAAAAACAACCGAACAAGAAAAUGAAUGAAAACAAUUAUACAUUUUAACAAUUUUCAUGCAUGAAACAAACAAGGGGAGAAGAAUAAGAAUAUACAAAAUCUACUAUCAGAUAGGAUGGUCAGGACGGACUCUGUGGAAGGAACAUUUGGGCAUAAAUUAAAUGAUAAACAUAAAACAGCUUUGUGAGAGUCUUUAGAGUUAAGACCAUUCUAAGUGAAGGGGAUAGCAUAAACUUAUGCUAAGGUAGUGAGGUGGGAAAAUGUUGCUGACCUUUGUGACUGGAUGAAAAUGAACUUGGGAGAGAGUACUGUGAGAUUAGUUUGGAGAAAAACAAUAGUGAGAUGAUGCAGGAUCUUGAAGUCCUGAAAAAUAAUUUGGAUUCCCUUCUAGAUAGAUUUGACAGGAAAUGAAUUAUUCUAAGCAAAGGAUUGAUGCAAUGUAAUUCACUUGUUUAUUAUUACUCUUGCUACUAAGAGGAAAGUGGAAUUAGUGAUCCCUUAAGAGGCUGUUGGAAUUCAAAUGAGGGAAGUGUAACCGAACUAGCUGAUGGCAGCAGAUGUGAAUGGAAGCCAGUGGAUUUGGUAUAAAUGUUUCAGUAUAAGCAGUAGGACUCGAUGUUGUUGGAUGGUGUGUGGUAGUUGGGAAAAAUGGAGGAAUCAGAAAUGAUUCAUAAGUAUCUUGCUUGAGAAAAUGGGUGGGUGUUGGUGUCAUUUCAGGGUUGGAAGGUAAUCCACUUCAUGAAUUAUUGCCACAGUUCUGUAUUUUUCUGCUGGCCACCAGGCUCUUAUCUCUCCAGUCCAUCUUUUACCAUGCAGAAAGAGAGAUUUGGCUCACAGACAUAAUUUGAUUCUUUCUGGCUCCUGUUCAAAAGUCUCUUUUGAUUACCAAGUGCUUAUAGUUUUAAAUAUACAAACAUGUUGGAUUGGGAUUCAACCUAUUUUCUGGCCUCACUCUGCUGCUGCCCUCCAUACACUGGGUUGUUCCUUUCACAAUGAGUGUCAUGCCGUUCUCUUGAUGCCACCAUCACAUUUCCCACACUUUUUUUUUUUUUGCCUGAGAUCUGGAAUGUUCUUCAUCCUCUUCUGCAUCUGGAAAACUCUGAUUCACCCUCCAGGACCCUAGUCCAGUGUUUUCUUCUUAAGGGACCCUCCUUGACUUCUUUAGAUAGGGAGACUUGAUGGGUAUCAAUUACCAUCUCUUUGCCAGAACAUUUACUGCAUUUUGUAAUUUGCCAGUUCAUGCAUCUGUUUAUCUUGUUAGACCUGCAUUUCUCCAAGCAUGAUAAUAAGACCACUUGCAUUAGAAUCUCCUGAGAUAUUUAUUUAAAAUGUAGAUUCCUGGCUCAUUCUCACUCUCUUUGCAUCAGAAUCUUUCUGGGUGGAGCCUGAGAAUCUCUACUUUAGUCAACUCUUCAAGUGACUCUUACAUACACUAAGCUCCAAGAAUCACUGCAGUGGGCUUUUUCAAGGGCAGGGCCCUAUCUAAUGCUUCUCUCAUCUCCACCACUUAACACACAGGACAUGCUCAAAAGAUGUUUUUGGAAUGGAUACUGAUUUCAAACUAAUAUAUAUUAUUUAUCUAACAUACCAAUUAUUCAUUCAACACAUAAUUAACUCUGAUUAGUACUAUAUUAUUAGCAAGUUUCUAACAUUCUGGUUUUUCAUUCAUACUGUGUGAAGGUUUUUUAAAAACCCACAUGAUACAGCAUUGCAAGAGAAAAUUAGACAUUUAUUCCUUCACACAAUCUUAAAAACAGAAAAAAAUACAAAUCUCAAGUUCUCCUUAGAAAUGAUGUUUUCUAUAAUGUUAGCCAAGAUAUGCACAAACAAGAGAGAUAGAAAUAAUUAGCUAAAGUGUUUGUAACAAGUACACAUGUCCGGAAAAUUCACUGAAAGCUAACCGUCCCAUAGAAGCAGAGCACACCACAGUGAGCCCUCAAGAUUACAAUUAAAUAGUUAAGUGAAAUUUAGUUUGUCUUUUCUCACUUGGUAGUGCUCAUAUAUGUAUGUUCCAUAACACUUUUCUCUGGGAGCAUUUUUUCGUUAUUCAUCAUUUCUUACUAAAAAAUGAUGACUCUCAUAAACUUUAAAGGUAUGAGUACUCAUCUUACUUCUCUUGGAUUACCUUUUGCUUGGACCAACUCUGCACCAGGAUUCCUGCCCCAGUCUUCCUGCCUAGCCCAGUCUCCCAUGACUCCCCUGCCUCUCACCUCCUACCUGAGGCUAUAUUCAGCCACCUUCUUCCACACACAUGCAGCUGAACUCCUGAACAACACAGAGUGGCUAAGAAAGCUGAGGUUAAAGGCUUUGGAAAAAUUCUGAUCUACAGAGAGAAACUAGGGAAUGGGAGAUCCAAGUCCAAGAUGGCCUAGGGGAGAGGACAGACCAUAGUAAGAGUGGGAAGGAUAUCCUCUGCCUCAGGACAUCUUGAGACAAUGGUCAAAUGCACAAGGAGCUAAGGUAAAGGAGAGAUGGAGAGGCAGGACUUGGCCAUCAUGUUAUUAACAGGAAAAUUCAUUUUCUAGUUGACUGUACUAGAAUCAAUCAAUUCUGUACCGGGUAAAACACACAGCAGCCACUAAAAAUACAUGUAUGUUCAGUCCCUCAAGAGAGAAAUACCCAUGAGCCCAAAUUCUAUUUGCAUAAGAAGAUAAAUUGUAUCAAUAUCUCAAUGAAAUCUUCAGAAUGAUAAAAUUGUACUGAAAGACUCCAGCAUCUCCUUUCUUUCUUCCCUUCCUUUACAUUCUAUGUGAAGCUCUAUGAAUCUAGGUCUUUCUGCUUUUUUUCAUCUUAGGAAGGUUAAAAAGUAGGAAGACUACCGUUUAUUACCUUGGACAAAUAAAGUAGUACCCAGGCCUCUUCUAGGCCACUAACGUCAGUCUCCAAGUCUAAUAUCAGCAUCGAGGCAAGAAGUAGAUUCCCACUGAAAACAACACCAACCAAAAGCCUCUCUCCCCUGACUGAUACUGGCUGAAAUUCUGACAGAAAACACAGAACUACUUUGCUCCACAAGAAGUAUUAAAAUCAUUGCAAACAAUGAAAAUAGAAAGGAGGAAAGAUAACCUAAAUUCCUGACAGUGCAUUAGGUAUGCUUAUAAAUUAUUCAUGCAUUUUCAGUCAAAAUACAAUGUAAAUAUUUUCUACAUAAAUAUCUACAUAAAUAUUCCCAAAUUUACAUAGAAGAAAGAGAGAUUCAAAUAGAAAUUGAGCACAUAGGCAUUUCUAGUGUUGAGGGACUGAACUUAUUUGUGUUUUUAGUGACUACUAUAUAUAUUACCUGAUAUAGAAUUGAUUGAUUUCAAUUGAGUACUGUUUACUCAAUUGAUUACAAUUUACUGAAAGUGAAUUUUAAUCUUGGAUCCCAUUUUCUACUGGUUUCUACAUUUAAACGAAAUCUUUUGUCUCAUGGUUUUUCAGCCUGUGCAGUGAAAUUGUGACCUAGGCUUAGUUACCAGGAAUCCAGUGAUCCUAAAACCAUUCUAGUAACUAAAGGGAGAGAUUGGAAACAGUGGGUUACUGUGAGCCGUGAAAACAGCUGGAUAACCAGCUGGAUAUUUCUCAUUUAAUUAGGAUGGUUUAGUGCUGUGUUAAAUUAAUAACCUUAGAAUCUUCUUGCAAAAGUACCUCGAGUUAAGAUUUUCCUUAUACUGUAUGCUACUCACAAGGAAAGAACACCAGAAUUGUACUUUACUUGUUCAUUUGAUAAAUACUCAUUAGGGACCUAGAAGUGUAUUCCUGGGCAUACAGUAGUUCACAAAUAGAAAAUACUCAUGUUCUAGAGGAGGGAUAAUAAACAAAGCAAAUAAUAACAAAUAGUAUCAGAUGCUGAUAAAUACCAUGAAGGAAAAUAAAAGCAGGAGAUGGAAAUGGAGAGGUCAGGGGUUUCAAUUUGAGAUUGGUCAGAGAAGUCAUAAGAAGGUGGCUUGGGAAAUAAGACGAAAAAGAGGUGAAAAAUUACUUUCUUUCCCCUACCCUGACUCUUCAAGGUCGAGAUAUCCUUCUCUCUAAUCCUUAAAUUUCCCUACCUUUUGCUUUCCCCCUCACCUGCACUUUUCCUUUUGCCACCAGCUCUUCUAAUACACUAAUGCUGUCUUUGCUUCUUUUUAUCCAUAAUCUCUCUCUCAUAGCUCAAGUUUCAUUAAUGGGAGAAUGAAGUUUGCGAUGAUCAAGACCAGAAAGAGAUUUAGGGCCAGAGACAAAAAAUAUGAGAGGAAAAUGGGGCAGACAUAUCUAAUUUUUAUCACCUCCUAAGAUCUAUUCUACUCAACUAUCUGUUAAACUCUGUUCAGACAUGGUCUUGCUAGGGAUCUUAAUUCUUGUUGAUAAUCUUCCUGUAUAAUUUCUCCCAGCAUUGUUACUGCUUCUUUGUCAUACACAUAAAAUUUGUGGCAACAUCAUUAGUUGGUCUUCAAAUGUCAGCCUUUCUGGGAUUCCCCCUUACAUUUAUGGCUGUAUUUUCAUCAGACCUAACACUGAGGAGAAUUAAAUUUGAUCGAUACUUAUGUAGCAGAUCUGGAUGACUGGUUGUUGGUGGUGAUAUUUCAAUAACUAUAUAAUUCUCAUCUUGGUGCAUACAAAUUUUGUGCCCCAGAUUCUCUUUCCCAAGAGGCUAAAAAAUAAGGAUCUUUAAACGCAUUUUAUGAAAUACAUCUGCUAAAUUUCAGUAACAGGGUUCAACUUAAAUGUGGAAGCCUGCAUCUUUUGGGGGCUUGUUGAUAUCCUUGCUACUGAAAAUGUGAUCUAUAGACUCCUGGGGCAUCACCUGGGAUGUAGUUAGAGAUGCCUUGCCCACUCUUAUGAAAUCCAGACUCAUUCUACAUCUACUAAGACAGAAUCUGUAUUUUAUCAAGCUCCCCAGGCAAUUUAUAUGCACAUUAGAAAUGGAGAAGCUUUCAUCUAUGAGGUUUCCUUUGUAGAUGUAGAGGAAUGGAAGGGGAAUUCAGGGAAACCAUGCAAUAAAUAUUCAUAACAUCUAUUCAUUUACUCAACGUGUAUUUACUGAGUGCCAUCGAUGGGCCAGUCACUGUGCGAAGAGCUAGGGCACAGCAAAGAAAAAUUAAGACUGCUUAUAUGGGGAUUACAGUUGUGUAGAUACUUUGCUAUGGACCUAGCAUUGUACCAAGCAAUAUGAGACUCCAAAAGAAGUAAAAUUCAUUUGGCCAAAUAUUUUUAUGUAAUUAGUACAUGUGCAAGUACUCUAGAGCUACAGGAAUUUAUAGAGGUAAAAGCUCUGCCUUCAAGAAGUUUACAUGUAGUAGCAAGAUAUGUUCCCAGCUCCUACAAUUCAAUGAGG